Molecule: ribosomal RNA, 1879 nt
Filed under: Myxidium truttae
Lineage: Eukaryota; Metazoa; Cnidaria; Myxozoa; Bivalvulida; Myxidiidae
Description: SSU rRNA
Rfam family: Eukaryotic small subunit ribosomal RNA
Source: RNAcentral
UGGCAUAUGCUCGUCUCUAAGAUUAAGCCAUGCAUGUCUGAGUUCAUACCUAGUAAACGUGAGACUGCGAAAGGCUCAGUACAUCAGUUAUAGUUUAUUCGAUUGUGAAAUCCACAUGGAUAACCGUGGAAAAUCUAGAGCUAAUACAUGCGAAAAAAGCCCUGGGUGAGCAAUCAUUUCAGGGUGAUGCAUUUAUUAGAUUAAGCCAGUCAACGAUGUGGUAUUUACGUAUUGCAUUGUUGUUGUGGUGAGUCUGGAUAACUGUGCCGAUCGUAUGGCCUUGAGCCGGCGACAUUUCGAUUAAAUUUCUGCCCUAUCAACUUGUUGGUAAGGUCGUUGCUUACCAAGGUGAUUACGGGUAACGGGGAAUCAGGGUUCGAUUCCGGAGAGGGAGCCUGAGAAACGGCUACCACAUCCAAGGACGGCAGCAGGCGCGCAAAUUACCCAAUCCAGACACUGGGAGGUGGUGACGAGAAAUACCAGGUCGUUCCCAAAAGGAUUCGACACUGGAAUGAGUGCAAUUUAAAAAUUUCAACGAGUAACAACUGGAGGGCAAGUCUGGUGCCAGCAGCCGCGGUAAUUCCAGCUCCAGUAGUGUAUUCAAACGUUGCUGCGGUUAAAACGCUCGUAGUUGGACAAGAGAGUAACUUGAUGCGGGCGGGGAGUGUAAUUACGCUAUGAGUUCACUUGUUGGGUGAUGCGUUUGCUGUUUUGCGAAAGUGAAGCAGUGGCGAGUAGCCUUUCAGGAUGAUGCAUAGUUGUAUCACUUGUCGACCAUGCUGCCAGGUUACUUGUAAUGUUUCGUGAGAAUGGUACAUGGUCUUUAUUGUACUGUGUGCUUUGUCUUACGUAGUGUGCCUUGAAUAAAUCAGAGUGCUCAAUGCAAGCAAUUGCUUGAAUGUUAAUAGCAUGGAACGAAUGUAUAGUGAAAGUGUGAUGGUGAUGGCAAUUCGUUGUCAUUGCUGUUACACAGCACCAACCGCGAAGCGGAGCAUUGGUUGCCGACUUCGGGUGAGGAUUAAGAGGGGCAUUUGGGGGCAUUAGUAUUUGGUCGCGAGAGGUGAAAUUCUUGGACCGGCCAAGGACUAACAAGUGCGAAAGCAUUUGCCAAGUAUGUUCCCUUUAAUCAAGAACGAAAGUGAGAGGUUCGAAGACGAUCAGAUACCGUCCUAGUUCUCACCGUAAACAAUGCCAACCCGGGAUCAGUUCGGAUGAUUUUGUUGGAUCCAGGUUGGUCCCCCUGGAAACCUUGAGUUUUUAGGUUCCGGGGGGAGUAUGGUUGCAAGGCUGAAACUUAAAGGAAUUGACGGAAGGGCACCACCAGGGGUGAGCUGCGCUUAAUUUGACUCAACACGGGAAAACUCACCUGGUCCGGACAUCGAUAGGAUUGACAGACUAAUAGAUCUUUCAUGAUACGGUGGGUGGUGGUGCAUGGCCGUUCUUAGUUCGUGGAGCGAUCUGUCAGGUUUAUUCCGGUAACGAACGAGACCACGUUCUUCAUUUGGGGAACCAGAGGACAGCUAUUGUGAGUUGUAGUGUUUUGAAUAAGUGGUGAGCAAUCAUUGCUUGUUUGACUGCUAUACUUGCGGUAGUUGCACCUAGGGUGUGCGUACAGCAAUGUGCGUCCCUAUGGAGAGACAGCCGGAUUGUAAGCCGGAGGAAGCGUGGCAAUAACAGGUCUGUGAUGCCCUUCGAUGUUCAGGGCCGCACGCGCGCUACAAUGAUAACGACAGCGAGAGUCUGGACUGAAAAGUUCUGGGUAAUCUUGUGAAUCGUUAUCGUGAUGGGGAUUGAGCAUUGUAAUUGUUGCUCAUGAAAUAGGAAUCCCUUGUAUACGUGUCUCACUUAAGACACGUAGAAUGCGUCUCUGCCCUUUGUA